RNAcentral lists this ribosomal RNA (627 nucleotides) under Streptomyces sp. D401. RNAcentral describes it as "bacterial SSU rRNA". It matches the Rfam family "Bacterial small subunit ribosomal RNA", at positions 56 to 699 of the family's 1533-position model. The record is from RNAcentral. Lineage: Bacteria; Bacillati; Actinomycetota; Actinomycetes; Kitasatosporales; Streptomycetaceae.
UGCAGUCGAACGAUGAACCUCCUUCGGGAGGGGAUUAGUGGCGAACGGGUGAGUAACACGUGGGCAAUCUGCCCUGCACUCUGGGACAAGCCCUGGAAACGGGGUCUAAUACCGGAUACGAGUUUCACCGGCAUCGGUGAUUCUGGAAAGCUCCGGCGGUGCAGGAUGAGCCCGCGGCCUAUCAGCUUGUUGGUGAGGUAACGGCUCACCAAGGCGACGACGGGUAGCCGGCCUGAGAGGGCGACCGGCCACACUGGGACUGAGACACGGCCCAGACUCCUACGGGAGGCAGCAGUGGGGAAUAUUGCACAAUGGGCGAAAGCCUGAUGCAGCGACGCCGCGUGAGGGAUGACGGCCUUCGGGUUGUAAACCUCUUUCAGCAGGGAAGAAGCGAAAGUGACGGUACCUGCAGAAGAAGCGCCGGCUAACUACGUGCCAGCAGCCGCGGUAAUACGUAGGGCGCAAGCGUUGUCCGGAAUUAUUGGGCGUAAAGAGCUCGUAGGCGGCUUGUCGCGUCGGUUGUGAAAGCCCGGGGCUUAACCCCGGGUCUGCAGUCGAUACGGGCAGGCUAGAGUUCGGUAGGGGAGAUCGGAAUUCCUGGUGUAGCGGUGAAAUGCGCAGAUAUCA